AACGAACGCUGGCGGCAUGCCUAACACAUGCAAGUCGAACGAGAACUUCGGGUCUAGUGGCGCACGGCUGCGUCACGCGUGGGAACAUGCACUUAGGUUCGGCAUAACUCUCAGACAGGGGUACUAAUACCGGACAAUGUCUUCGGACCAAAGAUAUAUCGAGUUUGGUUGGGCCCGCGUUGGAUUCGCUAGUUGGUAGGGUAAUAGCCUCUCACGGCGACGAUCAAUAGCUGGUCUGAGAGGAUGGUCAGCGACACUGGGACUGAGACACGGCCCAGACUCUUACGGGAUGCAGGAGAAGGUAAUAGUGGACAGCGGGGGGAAUGCUGAUCCAGCAAGGCCGGGUGAGUGAUGAUGGCAGUAGGGUUGUAAAGCGCUUGUAACCGGGAUGAUAAUGACAGUACCGGAAGAAUAAGCUCCGGCUAACUCCGUG
This 433-nucleotide ribosomal RNA is filed under the name uncultured bacterium. RNAcentral describes it as "partial 16S ribosomal RNA". It matches the Rfam family "Bacterial small subunit ribosomal RNA", at positions 29 to 507 of the family's 1533-position model. The record is from RNAcentral.